This 407-nucleotide ribosomal RNA is filed under the name uncultured bacterium. RNAcentral's name for it is "partial 16S ribosomal RNA". It matches the Rfam family "Bacterial small subunit ribosomal RNA", at positions 30 to 526 of the family's 1533-position model. The record is from RNAcentral.
AUUGAACGCUGGCGGCAGGCCUAACACAUGCAAGUCGAGCGGAGCGGCGGACGGGUGAUUAAUGCCUAGGAAUCUGCCUGUUAGUGGGGUAUACCUUCCGGAAACGUGCGCUAAUACCGCAUACUAUCAGAUGAGCCUAUGUCGGAUUAGCUAGGUGGUGGGGUAAAGGCCUACCAAGGCGACGAUCCGUAACUGGUCUGAGAGGAUGAUCAGUCACACUGGAACUGAGACACGGUCCAGACUCCUACGGGAGGCAGCAGUGGGGAAUAUUGGACAAUGGGCGAAAGCCUGAGCCAGCCAUGCCGCGUGUGUGAAGAAGGUCUUCGGAUUGUAAAGCACUGUAAGUUGGGAGGCGUUACCAACAGAAUAAGCACCGGCUAACUUCGUGCCAGCAGCCGCGGUAAUAC